RNAcentral lists this ribosomal RNA (386 nucleotides) under uncultured bacterium. Its description in RNAcentral is "partial 16S ribosomal RNA". It matches the Rfam family "Bacterial small subunit ribosomal RNA", at positions 338 to 721 of the family's 1533-position model. The record is from RNAcentral.
CCUACGGGAGGCUGCAGUGAGGAAUAUUGGUCAAUGGGCGCGAGCCUGAACCAGCCAAGUAGCGUGAAGGAUGACUGCCCUACGGGUUGUAAACUUCUUUUAUAAAGGAAUAAAGUGAGGCACGUGUACCUUUUUGUAUGUACUUUAUGAAUAAGGCACGGCUAACUCCGUUCCAGCAGCCGCGGUAAUAAGGAAGAUCCGAGGGUUAUCCGGAUUUAUUGGGAUUAAAGGGAGCGUAGAUGGGUUGUUAAGUCAGUUGUGAAAGUUUGCGGCUCAACCGUAAAAUUUCAAGUGAUACUGGCAGACUUGAGUACAGUUGAGGUAGGUGGAAUUCGUGGUGUAGCGGUGAAAUGCUUAGAUAGCAGGAAGAACUCCGAUUGCGAAGG